GGUCCCGUAGCUCAGUAGGAUAGAGCGGCAGAUUCCUAAUCUGUAGGUCGCAGGUUCGAUUCCUGCCGGGAUCACCA
This 77-nucleotide transfer RNA is filed under the name Aquamicrobium defluvii. RNAcentral describes it as "tRNA-Arg". It matches the Rfam family "tRNA". Rfam says of the family: Transfer RNA (tRNA) molecules are approximately 80 nucleotides in length. Their secondary structure includes four short double-helical elements and three loops (D, anti-codon, and T loops). Lineage: Bacteria; Pseudomonadati; Pseudomonadota; Alphaproteobacteria; Hyphomicrobiales; Phyllobacteriaceae. The record is from RNAcentral. RNAcentral also lists the same sequence under 24 other names.